Molecule: ribosomal RNA, 446 nt
Filed under: uncultured bacterium
Lineage: Bacteria
Description: bacterial SSU rRNA
Rfam family: Bacterial small subunit ribosomal RNA
Source: RNAcentral
ACCAGACUCCUACGGGAGGCAGCAGUGGGGAAUAUUGCACAAUGGGGGGAACCCUGAUGCAGCGACGCCGCGUGGGUGAAGGAGUAUUUCGGUAUGUAAAGCCCUAUCAGCAGGGAAGAACAAUGACGGUACCUGACUAAGAAGCACCGGCUAAAUACGUGCCAGCAGCCGCGGUAAUACGUAUGGUGCAAGCGUUAUCCGGAUUUACUGGGUGUAAAGGGAGCGCAGGCGGCGCGUUAAGCCUGGUGUGAAAACCCGGGGCCCAACCCCGGGACCGCACCGGAUACUGCCGGACUCGAGUGCCGGAGGGGCAGGCGGAAUUCCUGGUGUAGCGGUGAAAUGCGUAGAUAUCAGGAGGAACACCGGCGGCGAAGGCGGCCUGCUGGACCGUGACUGACGUUGAGGCUCGAGAGCGUGGGGAGCAAACAGGAUUAGAUACCCUUGUA